CUAGAACGCUUAGGAAUCUGUUACUCAAAUGCAAACAUUAUUACAAUGGUGUAUUCGGGAAAUUAAGGUGUGUGUGUGUCCAAGUAAGAAUAAUGGCUUUUUGGUUCGGGAAAAGAAAUGGGUGGACGGGAUGGAUGGGUGUUCCUUGUGUGGGAUGCCCAGUUGUUGUGCUCGUACCUUGGUGGUUGGGCAAUGUUGGGAGGUAUCCA
Molecule: long non-coding RNA, 209 nt
Filed under: Setaria italica (foxtail millet)
Lineage: Eukaryota; Viridiplantae; Streptophyta; Magnoliopsida; Poales; Poaceae
Description: long non-coding RNA (SITA_LNC007506)
Source: RNAcentral